ACGGAAGGCAGCAGUGGGGAAUAUUGGGCAAUGGGGGGAACCCUGACCCAGCAACGCCGCGUGGAGGAAGAAGGUCUUCGGAUCGUAAACUCCUGUCCUAAGGGAAGAGGAGAGGACUGUACCUUAGGAGGAAGCACCGGCAAACUUCGUGCCAGCAGCCGCGGUAAUACGAGGGGUGCAAGCGUUGUUCGGAAUCACUGGGCGUAAAGGGAGCGCAGGCGGAGAUGCAAGCAGUCUGUACAAUACCGGGGCCCAACCCCGGACCUGCAGACUGGACUGUUUCUCUUGGAUAGUUCAGGGGCAAGCGGAAUUCCUGGUGUAGCGGUGGAAUGCGUAGAGAUCAGGAAGAACACCGAUGGCGAAGGCAGCUUGCUGGGGACUUAUCGACGCUCAUGCUCGAAAGUGCGGGUAGCAAACAGGAUUAGAUACCCUGGUA
Molecule: ribosomal RNA, 436 nt
Filed under: uncultured Fibrobacter sp.
Lineage: Bacteria; Pseudomonadati; Fibrobacterota; Fibrobacteria; Fibrobacterales; Fibrobacteraceae
Description: partial 16S ribosomal RNA
Rfam family: Bacterial small subunit ribosomal RNA
Source: RNAcentral